CCCAGACAGCCAGGAUGUUGGCUUAGAAGCAGCCAUCAUUUAAAGAAAGCGUAAUAGCUCACUGGUCGAGUCGGCCUGCGCGGAAGAUGUAACGGGGCUAAACCAUGCACCGAAGCUGCGGCAGCGACACUGUGUGUUGUUGGGUAGGGGAGCGUUCUGUAAGCCUGCGAAGGUGUCCCGUGAGGGAUGCUGGAGGUAUCAGAAGUGCGAAUGCUGACAUAAGUAACGAUAAAGCGGGUGAAAAGCCCGCUCGCCGGAAGACCAAGGGUUCCUGUCCAACGUUAAUCGGGGCAGGGUGAGUCGACCCCUAAGGCGAGGCCGAAAGGCGUAGUCGAUGGGAAACGGGUUAAUAUUCCCGUACUUGGUGUUACUGCGAAGGGGGGACGGAGAAGGCUAUGUUGGCCGGGCGACGGUUGUCCCGGUUUAAGCGUGUAGGCUGGUUUUCCAGGCAAAUCCGGAAAAUCAAGGCUGAGGCGUGAUGACG
This 484-nucleotide ribosomal RNA is filed under the name Salmonella enterica subsp. enterica serovar Kentucky. Its description in RNAcentral is "partial 23S ribosomal RNA". It matches the Rfam family "Bacterial large subunit ribosomal RNA", at positions 1084 to 1571 of the family's 2925-position model. The record is from RNAcentral. Lineage: Bacteria; Pseudomonadati; Pseudomonadota; Gammaproteobacteria; Enterobacterales; Enterobacteriaceae.